GUCAAUCCUUUCAAUGUUGGUUUGCUGGUUCUUGGAUACCUUGGUGGGCUCCUCUCUUCUCUCUCUGUCAUUUAUUGCUGCUAUUGUGUGGCUGAGAGUAAAAAAGCAAAAAAAGAAGAACCUCCCAAAAUUAACACUGAUACACAACAUGAAGAUGAGGAACAACUAAUUACAAUAAGUACACACUGAGGUUACUAAAACAUUUUUAAAAAUUAAA
Long non-coding RNA from Amphimedon queenslandica, 217 nucleotides. RefSeq lists it as uncharacterized. The transcript is spliced from 2 exons. Lineage: Eukaryota; Metazoa; Porifera; Demospongiae; Haplosclerida; Niphatidae. The record is from RefSeq and is a predicted model, not a curated record.